UCAGCUCUCUUUGCCUUUUGGCUUAGAUCAAGUGUAGUAUCUGUUCUUUUCAGGUAUGACGUCACCAAAACCGCGAUGCGGCCAGUGCUAACAUUUGCGCAGUUUAAUCUCUGAAACGCCACUACGGUGGCAUUCUUGAUUAUUCAUAUUUUUGAAACCAGCUCGUUGGUUCCUGAGCUUGCUCAUACCAACGGGCACAGUGUCGCCAGUAUUGCACUAUCUCUGGCUGACGCGACCCUCU
RNAcentral lists this small nuclear RNA (241 nucleotides) under Pyrenochaeta sp. DS3sAY3a. Its description in RNAcentral is "U2 spliceosomal RNA". It matches the Rfam family "U2 spliceosomal RNA". From Rfam's summary of the family: U2 is a small nuclear RNA (snRNA) component of the spliceosome (involved in pre-mRNA splicing). Complementary binding between U2 snRNA (in an area lying towards the 5' end but 3' to hairpin I) and the branchpoint sequence (BPS) of the intron results the bulging out of an unpaired adenosine, on the BPS, which initiates a nucleophilic attack at the intronic 5' splice site, thus starting the first of two transesterification reactions that mediate splicing. Lineage: Eukaryota; Fungi; Ascomycota; Dothideomycetes; Pleosporales; Cucurbitariaceae. The record is from Rfam by way of RNAcentral.